ACUGUGGAGUGUACUUAGGAUCUGUGAGUAGAGAUAACGCAAGUUACUCAAAAGCAUACACGAAGAAACAGUAA
Ruminococcus sp. CAG:17 is the source of this 74-nucleotide non-coding RNA. The record is from Rfam. NCBI's taxonomy places the organism in Bacteria, Bacillati, Bacillota, Clostridia, Eubacteriales, Oscillospiraceae.